CUCCCUGUGGCUCAGUUGGUAGAGCAUGGUGUUUACAAUGGUGUUUGCAACGCCAGGGUUGUGGGUUCGAUUCCCACAGGGGGC
RNAcentral lists this transfer RNA (84 nucleotides) under Salmo salar (Atlantic salmon). It matches the Rfam family "tRNA". From Rfam's summary of the family: Transfer RNA (tRNA) molecules are approximately 80 nucleotides in length. Their secondary structure includes four short double-helical elements and three loops (D, anti-codon, and T loops). The record is from Rfam by way of RNAcentral. Lineage: Eukaryota; Metazoa; Chordata; Actinopteri; Salmoniformes; Salmonidae.